RNAcentral lists this ribosomal RNA (885 nucleotides) under Triticum aestivum (bread wheat). RNAcentral describes it as "partial small subunit ribosomal RNA". Lineage: Eukaryota; Viridiplantae; Streptophyta; Magnoliopsida; Poales; Poaceae. The record is from RNAcentral.
AUGACACCGUCGGCCUCUCGCCUCGCCGUCGUGCGCCCUUACUGCGCUGACGAGGCAACCUCCGCCCGCCAUUGCCACGCCGACGAGGCAGCCUCCGCUCGCCAUUGCCGUGCCCACGAGGCAGCCGCCGCCCGCCAUUGCCGCACAGACGAGCCAGUUGCUGCACCAGAAACUCCCUCGUUCUUUCCCAACAUCAACCUCAGCCAGGAGCGAACGAUGGAUAGACGUUGGAUUCAUGGCACAUUGUUUUCCCGUGAGUACAUUGAAGGUGUCAAAGAAUUUAUGAACUUCAUUCAAGAAAAAUUCAGCAAGGAUGAUAAAAUACUCUGCCCAUGUAGAGAAUGCCUUAAUCAUAAGUACCAGCAUCAGACCGUUGCGAACACGCACCUAUUGAUGUAUGGCAUGGAAAGUACAUAUACUCGUUGGAUAUAUCAUGGAGAAGACUUUGAUGUAGAUGUUAUUGAACAUCCUGUUGAUGUGCAUGACACCGAGGAUGGUGACAAUGGCGCUGACCGAUUUGAAGAGAUGUUUGAAGACCUACUCACAGCAGUAGAACAAGCUCAGAGUGAAACUGAAAAUCAAGAUGCUAACAAUGGUGGAAACCCUUAUGAGAAUGAGUCUUUUUUGAAGGAUGUGAUGAAGGAGGCAAAACGGCAGCUUUAUCAUGGUUGUACCAAGUUUUCAAGGUUCUCCUUUGUGGUAAAGCUUCUUCACUUGAAGUCAUACCAUAGGAUCCCGAAUAGUGCAUUUACUGAAAUUUUGAAGCUAUUAGCUGAAGCAUUCCCUGAACCCAAUACGCUCCCAAAAUCGUAUAAGGAAGCAAAGAACCUUCUAAAGGAAUUAGGCCUUGGGUAUGAGUCUAUACAUGUGUGCUUCAAUAAUUGA